Long non-coding RNA from Talpa occidentalis (Iberian mole), 1154 nucleotides. RefSeq lists it as uncharacterized. The record is from RefSeq and is a predicted model, not a curated record. The transcript has 5 exons. Lineage: Eukaryota; Metazoa; Chordata; Mammalia; Eulipotyphla; Talpidae.
CCAGAGAGAACUAUCUGGAGCUAAAUUACUGUUUACAUCCUUUUCUAUCAUUGCAACAUGUACUGCUGACUCUGCAUGCUUUCUGGAAUCUUGUUUCACUCUUGUUGCAAGAACACUGGAAUUCCCUGGUCUCCUGUGUCCCUCUGAGAGUUCCUCCUGUCUAGCUCUCUGCCAUGAGCUGUGAUAUGCAGGGGCUCUGCAGCCCCAAAUCAUGACAGCAUUUGUUUCCAACACUUCUCGUCUUGUGAACUGGAAUGAAAACACAUAAUUCGGGCUAUUGAGGCAUUAUAGCUGCAACCUGCCCUUGCUGUGGUUCAUACAUUAACAAAGGAGUCUUCUCAGAUGCUUGAAGCAGCAAGAGACUCUUCUGUUGGCCUUGAAGAAACAAGCACCCCACGUACUACAGCUGCAAAGGCAUGAAUUCUGUCAACAACCACCUGAACUUGGUCCAGAGCAUCAAUGAGAUCACAGGUCUGGUGACACAAUGAUUGCAGGCUUCUGAGACCCUGUAGAGAGCGCCUACCUAAGCAGUGACUGAAAUCCAUCUAGACUCAGGGAAAAAAUGUGGGAUGAUUAUAUGGGUUGCUUCUGGCUACUAAGUUGAUGGUAAUUUGUUUACACAGCAAUAGAAAAUGAAAACAUUAUCUAGUACUCAAAUCAAUUUGUUGGUUCAGUACUUUGGAAUCCAUUAGUUAUGAGUGGAUUAAGUGUGGGCUAGCUGACAAGAACUCAGGUAUCUCAACAGUAACUAGAUACCCCAUGUACCCUUCCCAAAAUGUGUCAGCUAUAUCCAGAGUUAGGGAGGCAACAAGUUCUCUGUAGAUCCUGAACUUGGGUAAUUCAGUUUAUCGUCCAUAGUUAGCCUUUAUAGCUUAAUCAGUUUCCAGGGCUGCAACUUGCAUCAAUUCCUUCUUGUCAUGAUUCAUAUCCUUCUAACAUUAGAUCCAGUCACUAUAGCAUUACCCAUCAUAUACCACCAACUAUGUAGAAAACAUGUAAACUGAAAAUCAGCCAUAAGAUUUAAGAUUAUAGAUAAAAAUUUCUGAUAGUAGAUAGUACAGUAUCACUUUGAAAAUGGAAAUAAAGCUGUAGCUUUACACCAAAACAGAUCUUAUUUAGGCUAAAUGCAUUUGACAUCAGGUAACCAAGUUCAG